Molecule: ribosomal RNA, 492 nt
Filed under: uncultured bacterium
Lineage: Bacteria
Description: partial 16S ribosomal RNA
Rfam family: Bacterial small subunit ribosomal RNA
Source: RNAcentral
AGUGAACGCUGGCGGUAGGCCUAACACAUGCAAGUCGAACGGCAGCACAGUAAGAGCUUGCUCUUACGGGUGGCGAGUGGCGGACGGGUGAGGAAUACAUCGGAAUCUACUUUUUCGUGGGGGAUAACGUAGGGAAACCUACGCUAAUACCGCAUACGACCUACGGGUGAAAGCAGGGGAUCUUCGGACCUUGCGCGAUUGAAUGAGCCGAUGUCGGAUUAGCUAGUUGGCGGGGUAAAGGCCCACCAAGGCGACGAUCCGUAGCUGGUCUGAGAGGAUGAUCAGCCACCCUGGAACUAGGACACGGUCCAGACUCCUACGGGAGGCAGCAGUGGGGAAUAUUGGACAAUGGGCGCAAGCCUGAUCCAGCCAUACCGCGUGGGUGAAGAAGGCCUUCGGGUUGUAAAGACCUUUUGUUGGGAAAGAAAAGCAGCAGGUUAAUACCCCGCUGUUCUGACGGUACCCAAAAAAUAAGCACCGGCUAACUUCGUG